This 253-nucleotide ribosomal RNA is filed under the name uncultured bacterium. Its description in RNAcentral is "partial 16S ribosomal RNA". It matches the Rfam family "Bacterial small subunit ribosomal RNA", at positions 524 to 776 of the family's 1533-position model. The record is from RNAcentral.
UACGUAGGGGGCGAGCGUUGUCCGGAAUCAUUGAGCGUAAAGCGCGUGUAGGCGGCCCGGUAAGUCCGCUGUGAAAGUCCAGGGCUCAACCCUGGGAUGCCGGUGGAUACUGUCGGGCUCGAGUCCGGAAGAGGCGAGUGGAAUUCCUGGUGUAGCGGUGAAAUGCGCAGAUAUCGGGAAGAACACCCGUGGCGAAGGCGGCUCUCUGGGACGGUACUGACGCUGAGACGCGAAAGCGUGGGGAGCGAACAGG